GGCAACUAUAGCUUAUUUCUGUGUAUUAGCAGGUUUAUUUUCAGAGUUAUAGAAGUCCUCAUGUAAAAGCUCUCAAGUUAUUAUAAUUUCAGGGACAAAUAUUAAGUACAUAAGAAAACCUCUCAGAUAUUAUAGGCUUUGAUUGCAGUGUGAAUGGCUGACUUGAAACUGACAUCAACUACUUCUUGGGGAAGACAGCUCAACACAAAAAGGAUGUUUGUGAUCUGGAACUGAAUCUUCAAUAUCUCCAAGCAGGUAGAGCAUGGUUAAAUAAUGAGCUAUUCCCAGGUGGCACAUCAGCAAGGGUUGCACACUCAAGAUGAGUUUGAUGCUGAUUUCCAUUAUAUUCCACAGACCUCAACACAGGUGGCCGUUCUUCCUCUUCCUAAGUCAGAAAAUUUGUUCC
Molecule: long non-coding RNA, 406 nt
Filed under: Homo sapiens (human)
Lineage: Eukaryota; Metazoa; Chordata; Mammalia; Primates; Hominidae
Description: non-protein coding lnc-PTPRD-3:1
Source: RNAcentral